UUAUAAAAUUAAAAUUUUAAUAUUUACAAGUAGAUACAUAUAAUAAUUUGAGCGUAAAAUGUACGUUAUAGAGUGUAAUAUGAAUCUAGCGAGUGCUUAUUGUGAUACGAAUGAAGUAAAACAAGAUUUUGACCCUAUUAACUCUUGUCGGGUGUGCCUUUCACAAAAUAUUAAUAUGGUAAAUAUAUUUGAAGACAGUAAUAAUGAAAUAAUGGAUAAAAUUGAAUUCUGUACUGGUAUUCAAUUGAAAGAAGAAAAGGGCCUACCCACAAAUAUAUGUGAUAACUGCUUAAAAGAACUAUCAAUAGCUUACAAGUUCAAAGCUAUAUGCCUACUCUCAGCGCAGACACUCCAACAGAUUCAUUUAAAGAAAGUAAAAGUUGAAUUAUCGGACAAAAAUGACGAUGUACUCGUUACCGUCAAAAUCGAUGAAGUCAACGACAGUUGUGAUUUAAAAGAAGUGGAAGUUGAGAGAGAUGUUUGUGAAGAUUAUUCAUCGGAUAAAGAAGAAAAAGGUCAACCAAAUAUAGCAAAAGUUGAAGGACCAAAAUUGUUAACAGAAAAGCAGAGUGAAACAGAAAACAAGGUGAUAAGUAAACGCGGCCCGUACAAGAAGGGUGGGAGUCCACGCGUGAGGAAGUUCAAAUUCAGUCGGUUAAGGUGUGAACCGUGCAACCUCAAGUUUACGUCCAAGCAGGAGUCGGACAAGCACAAGAAGGAAGCGCACUUGGAGAAUACGAGCUGGAUCUGUGAAGUGUGCGGCAAGGCGUUCGUGCACCGCAGCUCGCUGUACACGCACGCGCGCUCGCACCUCCCGCCGCGCUACGCGUGCGAGCACUGCGACUACAGCUCCGGCAUCAAGUACGACCUCGAGAAGCACCUCCGGACGCACUUCGGCGUGAAGAAGUACGCGUGCGCCUCGUGCGCGGCGCGCUUCCACACGACGUCCAACCUGCGCUCGCACGAGCGCCGCGCGCACCGCCCGCCCGACCAGCGCUACGCGUGCGCGCGCUGCGAGCGGCGCUUCCACGACCGCACCAAGCUGCGCCGGCACCUCGACGCGCACGACCACGUCAAACGGUUUAAAUGCGAUCACUGUCUCGCGCGAUUCUCUCGUCGCUGUCACUGGAAGCGGCACCUGGAGAGACAGCACGCCGUGUCGGUGCCCCCCCAGCGGCCCGGCCGGCGACCCACGCGCCUGCUGCUGGGGGAGCAGCCGCAGUGACGCGCAGCGACGCAGUCGCGGGGACACUCGUGGCGACUCGCAGGCCGCCGGGAGAGGAUCUCUUCGUGACGGUCACAUCACGAGCGGCUGAGGGUGGAUUGCGGAUUGCUCCGGCGAUCGGUCUACCAGCUUUUCUUGUACGAUAUCACAUCACGAAGCGACGAGUAGCGAGCGAACGAACGGACGGACGGAGCGCAUAGCUUUGCAUAAGAGACGUCCUCGGUAGAGACGAUCAUACGUAUGGUGCUCGAAGCUGCUGAGAUUAGUACAAUACACCUAUUUAUUUACAUAUAUGUACAUAUUAUGUAGUUAUCGAUAUGACUCACGUCACUAGGUGUGAUAUGUAUUUAUUAUGUAAAUAAAACAAAUUAAAUAAUG
Molecule: RNA transcript, 1603 nt
Organism: Vanessa atalanta (red admiral)
Lineage: Eukaryota; Metazoa; Arthropoda; Insecta; Lepidoptera; Nymphalidae
Gene name: zinc finger protein 771-like
Exons: 7
Source: RefSeq, a predicted model, not a curated record